UGCGUAGGGUGCGAGCGUUGUCCGGAAUUAUUGGGCGUAAAGAGCUUGUAGGCGGUUUGUCGCGUCUGCUGUGAAAAUCCGGGGCUUAACCCCGGACCUGCAGUGGGUACGGGCAGACUAGAGUGUGGUAGGGGAGACUGGAAUUCCUGGUGUAGUGGUGAAAUGCGCAGAUAUCAGGAGGAACACCGAUGGCGAAGGCAGGUCUCUGGGCCACUACUGACGCUGAGGAGCGAAAGCGUGGGGAGCAAACAGG
RNAcentral lists this ribosomal RNA (253 nucleotides) under uncultured bacterium. Its description in RNAcentral is "partial 16S ribosomal RNA". It matches the Rfam family "Bacterial small subunit ribosomal RNA", at positions 524 to 776 of the family's 1533-position model. The record is from RNAcentral.